ACGCCGCGUGAGUGAUGAAGGUUUUCGGAUCGUAAAGCUCUGUUGUUAGGGAAGAACAAGUACCGAAGAAAUAGGGCGGAACCUUGACGGUACCUAACCAAAAAGCCCCGGUUAACUACUUGCCACCACCCCCGGUAAUCCUUAGGGGGCAGGCGUUGUCCGGAAUUUUGGGGCGUAAGGGGCCCCCAGGGGGUUUCUUAAUUCUGAGGUGAAAGCCCCCGGUUCACCCGGGGAGGGUCUUUGGAAACUGGGGAAUUUGAUGGCAAAAAAAGAAAGGGAAUUUCCCCGGGUACCGGGGAAAGGCUUAAAAAUGGGAAGAAACCCCAUGGGCGAAGGCGAUUUUUUGGUCUGUACUUAACCUUAAGGCCCAAAACCUUGGGAAGCAAACGGGAUUAAAUCCCCGGGAAUUCCCCCCC
This 416-nucleotide ribosomal RNA is filed under the name uncultured Bacillus sp. RNAcentral describes it as "partial 16S ribosomal RNA". It matches the Rfam family "Bacterial small subunit ribosomal RNA", at positions 394 to 801 of the family's 1533-position model. Lineage: Bacteria; Bacillati; Bacillota; Bacilli; Caryophanales; Bacillaceae. The record is from RNAcentral.